RNAcentral lists this ribosomal RNA (116 nucleotides) under Mytilus edulis (blue mussel). Lineage: Eukaryota; Metazoa; Mollusca; Bivalvia; Mytilida; Mytilidae. The record is from RNAcentral.
CUACGACCAUAUCACGUUGAAAACACCGGUUCUCGUCCGAUCACCGAUCAGUUAAGCAACGUCGAGCCCGGUUAGUACUUGGAUGGGUGACCGCCUGGGAAUACCGGGUGUUGUAG